Long non-coding RNA from Dipodomys ordii (Ord's kangaroo rat), 288 nucleotides. RefSeq lists it as uncharacterized. NCBI's taxonomy places the organism in Eukaryota, Metazoa, Chordata, Mammalia, Rodentia, Heteromyidae. The record is from RefSeq and is a predicted model, not a curated record. The transcript has 3 exons.
UCUAUAUGGUGGAUGAAGCCUCCGGCCAAUGAAAACCAUCUGAAUGAAGAACUAAGGAGGUGGAAGGCACAAUAUGCACUUUUUUUUUACAUUGAUGGGGAUUGAAGAGAGCUACAACUGGACAAGUUACAAGAAAUCUUUAUUUUGCUUGCUUCAGUAAGAGAAGGAAAUUUGCAACAUUUUGGUUCCCUGUACAUUGAAACUAUGAGUAAAUUAAAUCCUGAAAAUGGAGGAAGCAACAUAUUCCUGGACCAUUCCAACCACAGGACUCAGCCCAGAGAAAUCCAG